Molecule: ribosomal RNA, 461 nt
Filed under: uncultured Pelotomaculum sp.
Lineage: Bacteria; Bacillati; Bacillota; Clostridia; Eubacteriales; Desulfotomaculaceae
Description: bacterial SSU rRNA
Rfam family: Bacterial small subunit ribosomal RNA
Source: RNAcentral
GCACAAGCGGUGGAGCAUGUGGUUAAUUCGACGCAACGCGAAGAACCUUACCAGGGCUUGACAUCCCCUGACCGCGUAUGAAAGUACGUUUUCACCCUCGGGUGACAGGGAGACAGGUGGUGCAUGGUUGUCGUCAGCUCGUGUCGUGAGAUGUUGGGUUAAGUCCCGCAACGAGCGCAACCCCUACGUUUAGUUGCUAACAGGUGAAGCUGAGCACUCUAGACGAACUGCCGUUGACAAAACGGAGGAAGGUGGGAUGACGUCAAAUCAUCAUGCCCCUUAUGUUCUGGGCUACACACGUGCUACAAUGGCCGGUACAGACGGAGGCGAAGCCGCGAGGCGGAGCAAAUCCGAAAAAGCCGGUCUCAGUUCGGAUUGCAGGCUGCAAUUCGCCUGCAUGAAGAUGGAGUUGCUAGUAACCGCAGGUCAGCUAUACUGCGGUGAAUACGUUCCCGGGGCUU